RNAcentral lists this ribosomal RNA (148 nucleotides) under uncultured eukaryote. RNAcentral describes it as "partial 18S ribosomal RNA". It matches the Rfam family "Eukaryotic small subunit ribosomal RNA", at positions 1299 to 1458 of the family's 1831-position model. The record is from RNAcentral.
UGGUGGAGUGAUUUGUCUGGUUAAUUCCGUUAACGAACGAGACCUCGACCUGCUAAAUAGUUCGACAAAGGAAUUCUUUCCUUUGGUUUUACGUGACUUCUUAGAGGGACUAUCGGUGUGUAGCCGACGGAAGUUCGAGGCAAUAACA